Echinops telfairi (small Madagascar hedgehog) is the source of this 108-nucleotide small nuclear RNA. NCBI's taxonomy places the organism in Eukaryota, Metazoa, Chordata, Mammalia, Afrosoricida, Tenrecidae. The record is from Ensembl.
CUAGGAAAAGUCCAUUUAAAAAAUGUUUAAUUGGAACGAUACAGAGAAGAUUAGCAUGGCGCCCUGUGCAAGGAUGAUAUGCAAAUUCGUGAGAUGUUCCAUAUUUUA